UAACGAAUCUUCCCCAAUGGGCGCAAGCCUGAGGGAGCGACGCCGCGUGGAGGAUGAAGUCCUUCGGGAUGUAAACUCCUGUCAGGGGUUACCAAGAUACUGAGGAGCCCCAGAGGAAGAGGCGGCUAACUCUGUGCCAGCAGCCGCGGUAAGACAGAGGCCUCGAGCGUUAGGUGGAAUCACUGGGCUUAAAGCGUGUGUAGGCGGAUCGUUAAGUGCCUUGUGAAAUCCCACGGCUUAACUGUGGAACGGCUGGGCAUACUGGCGGUCUUGAGCGAUCUAGGGGCAGAUGGAACAAGUGGUGGAGCGGUGAAAUGCGUAGAUAUCACUUGGAACGCCAAAGGUGAAAACAGUCUGCUGGGGAUCUGCUGACGCUGAGACACGAAAGCCAGGGGAGCAAACGGGAUUAGAUACCCGCGUAGUCC
This 425-nucleotide ribosomal RNA is filed under the name uncultured bacterium. RNAcentral's name for it is "bacterial SSU rRNA". It matches the Rfam family "Bacterial small subunit ribosomal RNA", at positions 355 to 796 of the family's 1533-position model. The record is from RNAcentral.